Pelobates cultripes (western spadefoot toad) is the source of this 201-nucleotide non-coding RNA. The record is from the annotation of a GenBank genome assembly. NCBI's taxonomy places the organism in Eukaryota, Metazoa, Chordata, Amphibia, Anura, Pelobatidae.
ACAACACAAAAUUUGUAUAAAAUAAAACAUACAAAUAAAGAUAAAAAUAAAAUUAAAAAUUGAAAUUAAAAAUUGAAGAUCCUAUUCCAAAGAUUUCCAACACCAGAUAAAGAUCAAAUGUAAUACAAUUGGUACACUAUAUAGGGCUUCACUGAAUUGAUUUUAAUCUAAAAAGCACCAUAGAUCAAUAUCUAAAUUUAG